This 495-nucleotide ribosomal RNA is filed under the name uncultured bacterium. Its description in RNAcentral is "partial 16S ribosomal RNA". It matches the Rfam family "Bacterial small subunit ribosomal RNA", at positions 28 to 507 of the family's 1533-position model. The record is from RNAcentral.
GACGAACGCUGGCGGCGUGCCUAAUACAUGCGAGUAGAACGCUGAAGGAGGAGCUUGCUUCUCUGGAUGAGUUGCGAACGGGUGAGUAACGCGUAGGUAACCUGCCUGGUAGCGGGGGAUAACUAUUGGAAACGAUAGCUAAUACCGCAUAACAGUAGAUAUCGCAUGAUAUCUACUUGAAAGGUGCAAUUGCAUCACUACCAGAUGGACCUGCGUUGUAUUAGCUAGUUGGUGAGGUAACGGCUCACCAAGGCGACGAUACAUAGCCGACCUGAGAGGGUGGGCGGCCACUCUGGGACGGAGACACGGCCCAGACUCCUACGGGAGGCAGCAGUAGGGAGGCUUCGGCAAUGGACGGAAGUCUGACCGAGCAACGCCGCGUGAGUGAAGAAGGUUUUCGGAUCGUAAAGCUCUGUUGUAAGAAAAGAACGAGUGUGAGAGUGGAAAGUUCACACUGUGACGGUAUCUUACCAGAAAGGGACGGCUAACUACGUG